RNAcentral lists this ribosomal RNA (475 nucleotides) under uncultured organism. RNAcentral's name for it is "partial 16S ribosomal RNA". It matches the Rfam family "Bacterial small subunit ribosomal RNA", at positions 331 to 797 of the family's 1533-position model. The record is from RNAcentral.
GUACACUCCUGCGGGAGGCAGCAGUGGGGAAUUUUGGACAAUGGGCGAAAGCCUGAUCCAGCCAUGCCGCGUGCAGGAUGAAGGCCUUCGGGUUGUAAACUGCUUUUGUACGGAACGAAACGGCCUUUUCUAAUAAAGAGGGCUAAUGACGGUACCGUAAGAAUAAGCACCGGCUAACUACGUGCCAGCAGCCGCGGUAAUACGUAGGGUGCAAGCGUUAAUCGGAAUUACUGGGCGUAAAGCGUGCGCAGGCGGUUAUGUAAGACAGUUGUGAAAUCCCCGGGCUCAACCUGGGAACUGCAUCUGUGACUGCAUAGCUAGAGUACGGUAGAGGGGGAUGGAAUUCCGCGUGUAGCAGUGAAAUGCGUAGAUAUGCGGAGGAACACCGAUGGCGAAGGCAAUCCCCUGGACCUGUACUGACGCUCAUGCACGAAAGCGUGGGGAGCAAACAGGAUUAGAAACCCCUGUAGUCCCA